GGGGGCGAAACUGGUUUCGACGGGGAUCGCAGAAGCAGAAUAAGCGAGCCGCAGCCCGGACUGCGUAAUAACCGGAACCUUAAACAAUAACUGAGAACAAUAAUUUUGUUCCCGUCGCUGCUUAAGCAGUGACCGUCCGACUCCGGAGGCCCACGACCGGUACUCGGGCGUCAUCAGCGUGGGGAACCAGCUUGCCUAAGCUUUGCGGCAAGUGGGAUUUAUGAAGCUACUAAGGUGCUGACCCUGCCAUUGGGGGCUUCACUAAGGGAAUGUUAAUUCACUGGCUACGCUCGUAGAAGGUUCUGUGGAUGGGUUUUCGGACGGGAGUUCGACUCUCCCCGCCUCCACCA
Molecule: transfer-messenger RNA, 350 nt
Filed under: Eubacteriales bacterium OttesenSCG-928-K08
Lineage: Bacteria; Bacillati; Bacillota; Clostridia; Eubacteriales
Rfam family: transfer-messenger RNA
About the family: Bacterial tmRNA, also known as 10Sa RNA or SsrA, is named for its dual tRNA and mRNA-like properties. Its role is to liberate the mRNA from a stalled ribosome. To accomplish this part of the tmRNA is used as a reading frame that ends in a translation stop signal.
Source: RNAcentral